RNAcentral lists this ribosomal RNA (497 nucleotides) under uncultured bacterium. RNAcentral describes it as "partial 16S ribosomal RNA". It matches the Rfam family "Bacterial small subunit ribosomal RNA", at positions 28 to 507 of the family's 1533-position model. The record is from RNAcentral.
GAUGAACGCUGGCGGCGUGCCUAAUACAUGCAAGUCGAGCGAACAGACGCGGAUCUUGCUCCUCUCUCGUUAGCGGCGCACGUGUGAGACACAUGUGUAUCAUCCCCUUAUCUUUCGGGUAACUCCUCGGGACUCCGGCUAAUACCGCAUAUAAUAUCUUGCUCCGUGUUGUGCAAUAGAAAGUGUCGGCUUUGGGGUCUCGACUCGCUGCUUCUCGGCCGCUUUGGCUAGUUGUGACGGUAACGGGUUACCAAGGCGACGAUGCGUAGCCGACCUGAGAGAGUGAUAGGCCGCCCUGGAAGUGAGACACGGUCCAGAGUCCUGCGGGAGGCAGCAGUAGGGUAUCGUCCGCAAUGGGCGAAAGCCUGGCGGAGCGACGCCGCGUGAGUUAUGACGGUCUUCGGAUCGUAAAACUCUGUUAUUAGGGAAGAACCGAUGUGUAAGUAACUAUGCACGUCUUGACGGUACCUAAUCAGAAAGCCACGGCUAACUACGUG